Molecule: ribosomal RNA, 461 nt
Filed under: uncultured bacterium
Lineage: Bacteria
Description: partial 16S ribosomal RNA
Rfam family: Bacterial small subunit ribosomal RNA
Source: RNAcentral
CCUACGGGUGGCAGCAGUGAGGAAUAUUGGUCAAUGGGCGGGAGCCUGAACCAGCCAAGUCGCGUGAGGGAAGACGGUCCUAUGGAUUGUAAACCUCUUUAGGCGGGGAGCAAUGCCGGGCACGCGUGCCCGGAGGGAGAGUACCCGCAGAAUAAGCAUCGGCUAACUCCGUGCCAGCAGCCGCGGUAAUACGGAGGAUGCGAGCGUUAUCCGGAUUUACUGGGUGUAAAGGGAGCGUAGACGGCAAUACAAGUCGGAAGUGAAAUACCCGGGCUCAACCUGGGAACUGCUUUGGAAACUGUAUGGCUGGAGUGCUGGAGAGGCAAUCGGAAUUCCGUGUGUAGCGGUGAAAUGCGUAGAUAUACGGAGGAACACCAGUGGCGAAGGCGGAUUGCUGGACAUUAACUGACGCUGAGGCACGAAGGCCAGGGGAGCGAAAGGGAUUAGAUACCCCUGUAGUC